Molecule: non-coding RNA, 53 nt
Filed under: Dickeya dadantii 3937
Lineage: Bacteria; Pseudomonadati; Pseudomonadota; Gammaproteobacteria; Enterobacterales; Pectobacteriaceae
Source: RNAcentral
UUAUCGUUAUUUCGUUGCCGCAAAAUCGGCAACCAGGUUUAGCAGCCUGAACA